GAUGAACGCUGGCGGCGUGCCUAAUACAUGCAAGUCGAGCGAACAGACGAGGAGCUUGCUCCUCUGACGUUAGCGGCGGACGGGUGAGUAACACGUGGAUAACCUACCUAUAAGACUGGGAUAACUUCGGGAAACCGGAGCUAAUACCGGAUAAUAUAUUGAACCGCAUGGUUCAAUAGUGAAAGACGGUUUUGCUGUCACUUAUAGAUGGAUCCGCGCCGCAUUAGCUAGUUGGUAAGGUAACGGCUUACCAAGGCAACGAUGCGUAGCCGACCUGAGAGGGUGAUCCGCCACACGGGAAAGGAGACCCGGUCCAACCCCCUAGGGGAGGAAGCAGUGGGGAAUUUUCCGCAAGGGGCGAAAGCCUGACGGAGCAACCCCGGGGGAGUGAAGAAGGUUUUCGGUUCGUAAACCCCUUUUUUUAGGGAAAAAAAAAUGUGAAAGAAACUAUGCCCGUUUUGACGGUACCUAAGAAAAAAGCCCCGGCUAACUACGU
RNAcentral lists this ribosomal RNA (496 nucleotides) under uncultured bacterium. RNAcentral's name for it is "partial 16S ribosomal RNA". It matches the Rfam family "Bacterial small subunit ribosomal RNA", at positions 28 to 506 of the family's 1533-position model. The record is from RNAcentral.